UACGUAGGGGGCUAGCGUUGUCCGGAUUUAUUGGGCGUAAAGAGCGUGUAGGCGGCCAGGUAGGUCUGCUGUGAAAACUCGAGGCUCAACCUCGAGACGUCGGCGGAAACCAUCUGGCUAGAGUCCGGAAGAGGAGAGUGGAACUCCUGGUGUAGCGGUGAAAUGCGCAGAUAUCAGGAAGAACACCCGUGGCGAAGGCGGCUCUCUGGGACGGUACUGACGCUGAGACGCGAAAGCGUGGGGAGCGAACAGG
RNAcentral lists this ribosomal RNA (253 nucleotides) under uncultured bacterium. RNAcentral describes it as "partial 16S ribosomal RNA". It matches the Rfam family "Bacterial small subunit ribosomal RNA", at positions 524 to 776 of the family's 1533-position model. The record is from RNAcentral.